This 1153-nucleotide ribosomal RNA is filed under the name Vibrio sp. SF2CR. RNAcentral describes it as "bacterial SSU rRNA". It matches the Rfam family "Bacterial small subunit ribosomal RNA", at positions 309 to 1454 of the family's 1533-position model. Lineage: Bacteria; Pseudomonadati; Pseudomonadota; Gammaproteobacteria; Vibrionales; Vibrionaceae. The record is from RNAcentral.
CACACUGGAACUGAGACACGGUCCAGACUCCUACGGGAGGCAGCAGUGGGGAAUAUUGCACAAUGGGCGCAAGCCUGAUGCAGCCAUGCCGCGUGUGUGAAGAAGGCCUUCGGGUUGUAAAGCACUUUCAGCAGUGAGGAAGGUGGUGUCGUUAAUAGCGGCAUCAUUUGACGUUAGCUGCAGAAGAAGCACCGGCUAACUCCGUGCCAGCAGCCGCGGUAAUACGGAGGGUGCGAGCGUUAAUCGGAAUUACUGGGCGUAAAGCGCAUGCAGGUGGUUUGUUAAGUCAGAUGUGAAAGCCCGGGGCUCAACCUCGGAACCGCAUUUGAAACUGGCAGGCUAGAGUACUGUAGAGGGGGGUAGAAUUUCAGGUGUAGCGGUGAAAUGCGUAGAGAUCUGAAGGAAUACCGGUGGCGAAGGCGGCCCCCUGGACAGAUACUGACACUCAGAUGCGAAAGCGUGGGGAGCAAACAGGAUUAGAUACCCUGGUAGUCCACGCCGUAAACGAUGUCUACUUGGAGGUUGUGGCCUUGAGCCGUGGCUUUCGGAGCUAACGCGUUAAGUAGACCGCCUGGGGAGUACGGUCGCAAGAUUAAAACUCAAAUGAAUUGACGGGGGCCCGCACAAGCGGUGGAGCAUGUGGUUUAAUUCGAUGCAACGCGAAGAACCUUACCUACUCUUGACAUCCAGAGAACUUUCCAGAGAUGGAUUGGUGCCUUCGGGAACUCUGAGACAGGUGCUGCAUGGCUGUCGUCAGCUCGUGUUGUGAAAUGUUGGGUUAAGUCCCGCAACGAGCGCAACCCUUAUCCUUGUUUGCCAGCGAGUAAUGUCGGGAACUCCAGGGAGACUGCCGGUGAUAAACCGGAGGAAGGUGGGGACGACGUCAAGUCAUCAUGGCCCUUACGAGUAGGGCUACACACGUGCUACAAUGGCGCAUACAGAGGGCGGCCAACUCGCGAGAGUGAGCGAAUCCCAAAAAGUGCGUCGUAGUCCGGAUUGGAGUCUGCAACUCGACUCCAUGAAGUCGGAAUCGCUAGUAAUCGUAGAUCAGAAUGCUACGGUGAAUACGUUCCCGGGCCUUGUACACACCGCCCGUCACACCAUGGGAGUGGGCUGCAAAAGAAGUGGGUAGUUUAACYUUCGGGAGGACGCU